UACGGAGGGUGCAAGCGUUAUCCGGAUUCACUGGGCUUAAAGGGUGCGUAGGUGGGUUGAUAAGUCAGUGGUGAAAUCCCCGAGCUUAACUUGGGAACUGCCAUUGAUACUAUUGAUCUUGAAUACCGUGGAGGUCAGCGGAAUAUGUCAUGUAGCGGUGAAAUGCUUAGAUAUGACAUAGAACACCAAUUGCGAAGGCAGCUGGCUACGCGAAUAUUGACGCUGAUGCACGAAAGCGUGGGGAUCAAACAGG
RNAcentral lists this ribosomal RNA (253 nucleotides) under uncultured bacterium. RNAcentral's name for it is "partial 16S ribosomal RNA". It matches the Rfam family "Bacterial small subunit ribosomal RNA", at positions 524 to 776 of the family's 1533-position model. The record is from RNAcentral.